UCGAAAACGUCGUUCAUGCGCACUUGUAUUCACAUUUCCAUCGAAGUUUUCGCUUAAGCGAAUUGGUAGCUCCGUUUCUACUUUUCGCGAAGCGAUUGGCAGUUCGAACUGUUUCUACAUUUUGCGAUGCGGAAAAAUGUGGUCAACCAAUCAGAGCUCAGGAACCAAAUAAAUUAUCCUAGCAGAAAACAGUCUUUAGAGUUGGCCUCUGUGCUGGAUUGUGAAAAAUGAAAGUGCUUAAGUAGGUAACUACAGGAAAGGCUGUACUUAGAUUGUGAAAAAGAAAACAACUUUGAGCAGACAACUAAGCAAGACUGUGCUGGAUUGUGAAGAAAGAAAGGGCUUUGUAGCAGGUAACAACAAUAACGUACCUUCAUUCUAUGAAUAUCUCAGGAAAUCUGUGUAGGCCUACAGUUUUAAGACCAGAAUUGAUAAGAGUUGCAAUAGCUUUUAUCAAAUGUGUUUGUUCUAAAAUGAUAUGUGAUUCAAAAUUGAACUUGAAGUGGAAUCAGUUGUUGUAUUUACCAGUACAGUAGACAUUGAUUGUAGAACAUCGUGCAUUGUCUUUAAGUUGAUUGACUGGUUGAUUGAUUGAUUGAUUCAUUAUUUGUUUGAUUGAGUGAUUAGUUAAUCUUUCUGACCCAUUUUAUUUAUUGUUUGUAUAUACUGUUUUGUGCUAGGCCUUGAAAGUAAAAGUUGAAUUGAAUUUAAUAGACAAGGCUGAGCUUGGAUUGUGAAUAAGAAAAUUACUUGGAACAGGCCACAGUAGGGAGGACUGUGCUACAAUUGCGAAAAAGAGAAAGUCUUGGACCCAAAGCAAGCCGCAAGGCUGUGUUAGAAUUGUGCAAACAGUCAUUGGAAUCCGUCUUAGCCAUCUUUACGAUGAUACGAUAUUUUAUUGCGUGCACUUGCUUUGUGGCAAACGUCCUUUUCUAUACUAUAAGGUUUAAUUUAAGUAUCGCCAUCACUGUGAUGGUGCGUCACAACACAAGUUUGACUGUUGGUAAAAUAGAGCUGCCACUUAACACCACAAAAAGCAACGACAAUAAUGUGCAAACUUUCGAUUGGGAUGAAAAAACACAGCAAAUGAUACUUGGAGCUUUCUUUUAUGGUUACGCAAUCAUGCCGAUACCCGGAAGUUGGUUGGCAGAACGUAUAGGCGGCAAACGAAUGAUUGGAUUUUCAAUUAUUUGUUCGAGUAUUCUAUCAAUCUUAAUACCAUGGGCAGCAGGAGUCAGUGUUGGCCUAGUUGUGAUAUUGCGAGGUUUAGACGGAAUGGUUCAGGGAAAUGUAAUACCUGCAACUGUCAUCUUACUGCAAAACUGGGCUCCGAAAGCUGAGUUAAAUACCAUAAUAUCAAUUGCUUUUGCAGGCAGUGUAGGCUUGAUUUUGGCUUUAUUUUGGACAGUGUUUGUAUACGAUACAGCAAACGAACAUCCAUGCAUAUCACAGAAUGAGCUCGCCUUGCUCGAUUCAAACCCAAGUCCAAUGGAAUCGGAUAUCAAAAUUAAAUCCGUUCCAUGGCUGUCCAUUUUUACCUCGCCACCAGUUUUGGCAAUCGUCAUAAGUUACUUUUCAUUCGACUUUGGCGUAUAUUUCUUCUUUACGGAUAUACCAACAUUUUUGUCCUCAGUUUUAGGAUACAAUUUUCAAACAGUUGGUGUUUUGGUUCUCCUAAUGUGUAUAUCUCAGUUUGUACCUGCUGUCCUAUAUGGGAAAUUCAUGGAUUUUCUUAUUCAACGUGAAUAUCUUAGCGCCUUAAAUACACGAAAAUUAUAUGCAGUUUUAUCACUUGGAAUACCAGCUGUCUGUCUUCUUGCUCUUGGAUAUGCUAGCAGUAAUGAAUACUUCAUGCAGUUUCUUAUUAUAACUACUUUUGGAAUUUAUGGAGUAGGGAAUUCCGUGCUUUCCAACCCGAUAGACCUUUCUCCAAUGUACUCUGGGAUAAUAACAGGUGUCGUAAUGACGAUAUCCAGUACUGCUGGUUUUAUUGGACCUUUCAUUGUUGGAUUAUUAACGCAAGAUAAUGUAAGAUUAUUUAUGUAUUGAUUAUCCUGAAAAUGUUUUUACCUUAUUUAUUAGGCCUAUACUGUUAAUGAUACCAAUAGGUUAGAGCUGCUCUUUUAUUCUAAAUCUUAUCUGACAUCAUGUAAUUAUCGUCAGUUUCACGCCAAAAAUGGCCUAUCAUAUGGACGGUCCGGUGGACCAAUGUUAGCCACCAACUGUUACUACAAGAAUGUUUCAUGAUAAUAUUAAUGCAGAAUUCUUUCAAAAGGUGGGUGUGUUUAUUUUGCCAUGUUACCAGAAGUCUUACAAUUUUUUUUGAAUUUCAUACGCUAUUAUUGAAUCC
This 2350-nucleotide unclassified non-coding RNA is filed under the name Anneissia japonica. RNAcentral's name for it is "sialin-like, transcript variant X2". The record is from RNAcentral. Lineage: Eukaryota; Metazoa; Echinodermata; Crinoidea; Comatulida; Comatulidae.